RNAcentral lists this ribosomal RNA (500 nucleotides) under uncultured bacterium. RNAcentral's name for it is "partial 16S ribosomal RNA". It matches the Rfam family "Bacterial small subunit ribosomal RNA", at positions 30 to 523 of the family's 1533-position model. The record is from RNAcentral.
AUUGAACGCUGGCGGAAUGCUUUACACAUGCAAGUCGAACGGCAGCACGGACUUCGGUCUGGUGGCGAGUGGCGAACGGGUGAGUAAUGUAUCGGAACGUGCCCAGUCGUGGGGGAUAACGUAGUGAAAAUUACGCUAAUACCGCAUACGAUCUAUGAAUGAAAGCGGGGGAUCGCAAGACCUCGCGCGAUUGGAGCGGCCGAUAUCAGAUUAGGUAGUUGGUGGGGUAAAGGCCCACCAAGCCAACGAUCUGUAGCUGGUCUGAGAGGACGACCAGCCACACUGGAGCUGAGACACGGUCCAGACUCCUACGGGAGGCAGCAGUGGGGAAUUUUGGACAAUGGGCGAAAGCCUGAUCCAGCCAUUCCGCGUGCAGGAUGAAGGCCCUCGGGUUGUAAACUGCUUUUGUACAGAACGAAAAGGUUUCUACUAAUACUAGGAGCUCAUGACGGUACUGUAAGAAUAAGCACCGGCUAACUACGUGCCAGCCGCCGCAGUAA